This 1143-nucleotide long non-coding RNA is filed under the name Salmo salar (Atlantic salmon). RNAcentral's name for it is "lncRNA (ENSSSAG00000093654.1)". The record is from RNAcentral. Lineage: Eukaryota; Metazoa; Chordata; Actinopteri; Salmoniformes; Salmonidae.
GUAACGGAAGCGGAAAUAGCACAACGGCCGGAUAAGGAAGUGAUAUUGGAAUUUGUGAAAACGUACAUCGAUCUCAUACACAACCAGUGAGGUAGCUACCGUCUUCGUGGUUGGAAACGGGCACAACCCGUAUACCUUCAGAAACAAGGUGCCUCAAGUUGUAGAAAAGUCAAGGAUGAUCAAUGGAAACAGGAUGCACCUGAGCUCAAUUGAGUGUCAUAGCAAAGGGUGUAAAUACUUAAGGUAUUUCCGUUUUUAUUUUUCUAAAUUAGCAAACAUUCCUAAAACUUUUUUUGCUGUGCCAUUAUGGGUAUUGUGUAGAUGAAACUCUGUGGAUUCAACAUGGCGAAUGACAACUUCGAGCAUCGAUUUGACUGAGGAAGGUACUUCUGUACCUCCCCAUUACGAUUCUAGCCAUGCAUUAUAUAAAUGCCAAUUCAUGGAGGGAGAUUGCAGAGACGCUUGGGUCCGACCCAACCACUAGUCUGAAAAAGUGGGGUAGGAUUCGUGACGACAAGUUCGUCAAGACAAAGAAAAGAAAGGGCCACAGUGGAGAUUCCGGAGGAAAGGCUUCUCCAGAAAUGUUGCUGCUGGCUUGUUUGGCAUGUGGAGCAUGGGAAGACUGAAAGCAACAUGCCGUCUUCACCAAAGAAUGAGGCUCAAACAUCAGUGAAUGGAGACAGCACCUGGUUUUGUUCUCUGCGCCCAAGCACUACCUCAGUACUGGGGACAGACUGGUCAUCGGCCCCUGCACUAAGCUGCAGUGCAGAAUUAGAAACCAUCUCCAUGCAGGACCUGGCAAGCUCUAUCCUGGGCUCACCUCCAAUACCUGCUCCACUGGCUUGCUCUUCACCGACGCCACAGAGCAGUAGCAGGGGUGAGAAGGGAGAAAAGAGCUGCAGACUAAGCCCUUGACACUUAUGAGACCAGCCACCUGGACAGCUGAUGGAACAGGAGUAUUUCCGUCUGUAAUAAAUCCCUUUUUGAGGGGAAAAACUCAUUCUCAUUGGCUGGGCCUGGCUCCCAAGUGGGUGGGCCUAUGCCCACCCAUGGCAACACCCCUGCCCAGACAUGUUAAAUCUAUAGAUUAAGGCCUAAGGAGUUUUUUAAUUGACAGAUUUUUGUAUGAACAGUAAACCCAGU